GGCGGCGGCGGUGCCCGUGCCUGGUAGUUUGUUAUCGCCAGCUCUCUUCUCGUCUCUCUGCGGGCCCGGGGGCGAGGUGGAUGAGGGGCGGUUACUGCCGCCAGAGCGAGGCCCGUCGGCUGAGGUAAUGAGUACCUGAACCCUCUAAACAUUACUGAUCCUACAAAGGACGCCUAGUUUUUGUUCCACUCAGCUUCUUGAUUCAGCUUACUCUCUAGGUAUGUGAGUACCGAUGUUGGGCUAAUAGAGGAGGUGGGGCUCUGGCAGACUUGAUUUAGAGUUAUUUAAGCUGUUGUGAAGCCAUUUUCAUAAUUGCUCAUUUUCAGCCAGGUCAGUUCCCUGGUCCAGCUCACACUGAGGAACCUGGAACACUAGUUAAAAUAAAAGCUCCCUGCUACUGAAGUACAGCUGUAAUGGACAUGAACAAUAUGCUUCUUGCAUAUCAUAAGACAUACAUCUCCCCCUAUUUUUUUUUAACUGUAGACUAAUCAAUUCCACAUUGUUUCAGUCCUUGUGUGUCACAGUUGUAAACUUCUUAAGAUGCAUAUUUCUUAUUCCCGUGUUGUUUCAAAAUCAUUCACAUCUAUUUCGAACUGCAGCACCCAAGAGUGGAAACUACUACAAUUAAGGACUCGACAGCUCCAGCAUCUGCUGUCAUACCUGUUGCAGACUACAUUCCUGUUUACACAUGCCAAUACAAAUGCUUUUGAGUCAGUAUGAUCUAUUCAUGGUUUUGCUGUCCUGUUUUACCCUCGCAUCCAUUUCUGCUGACCUACCGUGCCAGUUAUUUCUCCCUCAAGUAGACAGAAAUGCUACUUGAGAUUUACUGCAACAGACCUAACACUAUCCUUUCAUUUUUUCUUGCUGGAAAUGGACAAUCAAGCAGUCAAGAUAUCUGUUAAAAUAAAAUUCCACAUGAUUUUACAUCAGAAAACUGUAGAAUUUGUCAUCCUUUGUAAUCAGUUGCAUUUCUCAGAAGAAUUGUAUUUAAAAUCCAAAACUUAACUAAGAUUGAAUGGUUCUACAGUUACAGAAUGGUUCUAUAAGUCAAAGUUAGAAGAGAUAUAUGUCCAUAUUUGUAAAUUCACUUAAACCAACUUAAACCAAACCACCUAAACAAUCUUAAGUGCAAGCAGGGGUUGAUAACCAUGAUUGGUAAGUGUUCAAGGCCAGGCUGGAUGAGGCUUUGAGCAACCUGGUCUAGUGGAAGGUGUACCUGCCUGUGGUGGCAGGAUUGGAACCAAAUGAGCUUUAAGGCCCCUUCUAAACCAAACCAUUCCAUGACUUCAUGAUUCUCUGAACAAAGAAUGUAGGUCAGCGGAUUUUGUACUAAUAUAAGGUAGCAUUUGGCAAAAAACAGUGUAACCUCUGGUUGCUCCUGUCAAUGAGGGACAGAACUUGCAGAUACUUAAUUUUGUUAGUUGUGUUCGUCAGUGACAUAUUUUAAUUCUCAGAGUUAUUCACUGCCCUGUGCACUGCUUCUGAUCGGGACUGAAUAGUGCAAUGAGCAGCUUGUAAAGUACUGAUGGUAUACUCUGCAAAUUGUAAGGUUUUGUAGGUGAAGUUGAGCAUGUCAUUUUACAUGGUCAUACUUUGGUCUUCACUGUAUGAAAUGAAAUCUGUCUUUUUAAACACUAAGAAUCGAAACCUGAAGCAUGUGUUGUGGGUGUUUAUUAAAAUAACUGCCACAGAAGGGAUAAAAAUGAAGCCUGUCCAGGUCCGCUAGCCUGUGUACACAGAGCUUUUCACUUCUUAUGAUGUCUUUCUAUAACAGCUAUGGAAUUAGUUCUUCAGUAUAGCUGAAUGAACUGGUAAUGCAUUCAGCUAGUUUAUUUCUUAAAUGAAAAACACAUCAUGUAGUAUGUUUUGUCCAUUUUGAUUGUGUAAACUAUUUGUAUGAUAUAUUCUGUAUCAGGUAAUCUUUGUAUGGUAACAAUUCAAGAAAAAUACAGGCUUUGUAAGUGAAUAAACAGCAAUUUUGCCUUUUUUUGUCACUUGGUCAGCAGA
Molecule: long non-coding RNA, 2007 nt
Organism: Pezoporus occidentalis (night parrot)
Lineage: Eukaryota; Metazoa; Chordata; Aves; Psittaciformes; Psittacidae
Exons: 2
Source: RefSeq, a predicted model, not a curated record